This 70-nucleotide transfer RNA is filed under the name Dipodomys ordii (Ord's kangaroo rat). It matches the Rfam family "tRNA". From Rfam's summary of the family: Transfer RNA (tRNA) molecules are approximately 80 nucleotides in length. Lineage: Eukaryota; Metazoa; Chordata; Mammalia; Rodentia; Heteromyidae. The record is from Rfam by way of RNAcentral.
GGGAAUGUGGCUUAGUGGUAGAGUGCUUGCCUAUCAUGCAUGAAGCCCUGGGUUCGAUUCCUCAGUGCCA